This 364-nucleotide ribosomal RNA is filed under the name uncultured bacterium. Its description in RNAcentral is "partial 16S ribosomal RNA". It matches the Rfam family "Bacterial small subunit ribosomal RNA", at positions 338 to 699 of the family's 1533-position model. The record is from RNAcentral.
CCUACGGGAGGCAGCAGUGAGGAAUAUUGGUCAAUGGACGCAAGUCUGACCCAGCCAUGCCGCGUGCAGGAUGACGGCUCUAUGAGUUGUAAACUGCUUUUGUACGGGGGUAAACCCCGAUACGUGUAUCGGGUUGAAAGUAUCGUACGAACAAGGAUCGGCUAACUCCGUGCCAGCAGCCGCGGUAAUACGGAGGAUCCGAGCGUUAUCCGGAUUUACUGGGUUUAAAGGGUACGUAGGCGGUUUGAUAAGUUAGAGGUGAAAUGCCGGGGCUCAACCCCGAAACUGCCUUUAAUACUGGUGGACUAGAGAAUAGUAGCGGUAGGCGGAAUGUAUGGUGUAGCGGUGAAAUGCUUAGAGAUCA